Molecule: ribosomal RNA, 406 nt
Filed under: uncultured bacterium
Lineage: Bacteria
Description: partial 16S ribosomal RNA
Rfam family: Bacterial small subunit ribosomal RNA
Source: RNAcentral
AUUGAACGCUGGCGGCAGGCCUAACACAUGCAAGUCGAACGAGUGGCGGACGGGUGAGUAAUGUCUGGGAAACUGCCUGAUGGGGGGGGAUAACUACUGGAAACGGUAGCUAAUACCGCAUACCCUCAGAUGUGCCCAGAUGGGUUUAGCUUGUUGGUGGGGUAACGGCCUACCAAGGCGACGAUCCCUAGCUGGUCUGAGAGGAUGACCAGCCACCAUGGAACUGAGACACGGUCCAGACUCGUACGGGAGGCAGCAGGGGUGAAUAUUGCACAAGGGGCGCAAGCCUGAUGCAGCCAUGCCGCGUGUAUGAAGAAGGCCUUCGGUUUGUAAAGUACUUUCAGCGGGGAGGCGUUACCCGCAGAGGAAGCACCGGCUAACUCCGUGCCAGCAGCCGCGGUAAUAC